GGAGUUUUCGGCAAUGGGGGAAACCCUGACCGAGCAACGCCGCGUGAGCGAUGACGGCCCUAUGGGUUGUAAAGCUCUGUUGUAAGCCAUGAAUGAUAGCUUGAGGAAAUGCAAGCUAUUUGACGACAGCUUACCAGAAAGCCACGGCUAACUACGUGCCAGCAGCCGCGGUAAUACGUAGGUGGCAAGCGUUAUCCGGAAUUAUUGGGCGUAAAGAGUGAGCAGGCGGCUAAUUAAGUCUGAAGUCAAAUCGUGGGGCUCAACCCCAUCUCGCUUUGGAAACUGAUUGGCUAGAGUACGGGAGAAGUGAAGGGAACUCCAUGUGUAGCGGUGAAAUGCGUAGAUAUAUGGAAGAACACCAGUGGCGAAGGCGCUUCACUAGCCCGAAACUGACGCUCAGUCACGAAAGCGUGGGUAGCAAAUA
RNAcentral lists this ribosomal RNA (424 nucleotides) under uncultured bacterium. RNAcentral describes it as "bacterial SSU rRNA". It matches the Rfam family "Bacterial small subunit ribosomal RNA", at positions 358 to 774 of the family's 1533-position model. The record is from RNAcentral.